AAGGUGGCGGGGUGCCUUAUACAAGGCAGUUGAGCGGAAUCGAGGCGAUGCUCGGAUCUGCUCCAUGGUUAGCGGCGGACGGGUGAGUAACACGUAGGCAACCUGCCUGUAAGACUGGGAUAACUACCGGAAACGGUAGCUAAUACCGGAUAAUUGAUUUUCCCGCAUGGGAGAAUCAUGAAAGAUGGAGCAAUCUAUCACUUACAGAUGGGCCUGCGGCGCAUUAGCUAGUUGGUGGGGUAAUGGCUCACCAAGGCGACGAUGCGUAGCCGACCUGAGAGGGUGAACGGCCACACUGGGACUGAGACACGGCCCAGACUCCUACGGGAGGCAGCAGUAGGGAAUCUUCCGCAAUGGACGAAAGUCUGACGGAGCAACGCCGCGUGAGUGAUGAAGGUUUUCGGAUCGUAAAGCUCUGUUGCCAGGGAAGAACGUCCGGUAGAGUAACUGCUACCGGAGUGACGGUACCUGAGAAGAAAGCCCCGGC
RNAcentral lists this ribosomal RNA (487 nucleotides) under Paenibacillus sp. C2PN13. RNAcentral describes it as "bacterial SSU rRNA". It matches the Rfam family "Bacterial small subunit ribosomal RNA", at positions 35 to 497 of the family's 1533-position model. The record is from RNAcentral. Lineage: Bacteria; Bacillati; Bacillota; Bacilli; Caryophanales; Paenibacillaceae.